AUGCUUGUUUACAGUUGGUUCAGACCCGGCUAGAUCACCAUCCCACUGAACUGCACUUGGGAUGAGCCUAGCUCGGCCUACUGAACUGCUGGUCAGUUCAUGACAAUAACCAGGUUCAUGACAGGUUCAGGUUCAUAACCAGGUUCACAUGAUCUAGCUCUGACCAAAACUAAAAAGAGAACAAAACCGACCAAAACUAGUAUACAUACAUUUCAUCUCAGCCUAAACUCGAGAAAACAACUAAUGUGCACUGAAUCGCAUAUAAAUGUCAUACUCAACAUUUAGGGGCAUCAUUGACAUUGCACAACACCUACAAUUCCUACAGCUAUCCAGCAGCGGGGUAAACAAACAAUCAGCUUCUGAUCUCAGGAAUCUACAGCCACAACUAAUUUUCAGGAAUCCACAGCCAUGGUGAUUCUUAGGAAUUUGUAGCCCAAACAAAGCGGGCGUAAGCACUGAAAAUGUACUCAGUUACCGUUGUGAUGUUUGGCGCAUUGGCUCGUCUCUGUCUGAGGCGUUGUUGCGUGGGGGUCAAGGCGUUAAGGAAUACUCGCUCUUGCUGAAGCCUCUACAUUCAUUAACAAAUAACAAAGUAAAGAAGAUAGCUAAUGCAUCUACAGAAAUAGAAGGGAAAAAAGCAGAGUUUGAACUAACAUUACGGGUUUCAGCAUUAUCUGCAGUACGAUCCGAAGCAUUUUUCGGCAUCUGUCAGGUGAGCAAAGAAGAUGGAUUAAUCCAAAAUUAUGAACAAGAAAAAGGAGAGAGAGAGAGAGAGAGAGAGAGAGAGAGGAGGGAAGAGAGGGGAACACUUGAGAGAAGAUGAGAAACACACUUGAUGAAAGAAACCAACACAGAGAUCUCUAGAUCUACAAGGGAGAGAUGGACUGUUCGAGAUGACUAACAAUGCAAAUGCAGUGCAAGAUGAACAUACAUUAAGAAAAAUAGAGAGAGAGGGAGACUAACCCUAAACCAUAAUCCAAGAACAAGAAAAAGGAAAGAAAGAGAGAGGGAGGAGGGAAAAGAGAGGAGGAACACUUGAGAAAGGAUGGAAAACCUCAACACACUUGGACGAUAAAUCCAAAGACAGCAAAGAUCUCUAGAUCUGCAAGAAAGAUGAACUGUUAGAAAAGACUAACAAUGCACUGCAAGAAAUAGAGAGAGGGAUGCUGACCCUAAACCGUGGGAGGGGCCGUGGGAGGGGCGAGGCACAAGGUGGGGGUAGCUGUCGUAAGUGAUGUUUGGUCAUAGGGGAGAGAGAGCGAGCAGAGAAAUAAAUAUGAGCCGAGAUAGAGAGAGAGCAAAUAAACAUGUGAAGGAGCUGUGUGUGUGAGAGAAAAAAGCAUCUCCUAAGAGACAAUGUCGUGACGGGAUUCUAUACAAGGAGGCAAGGGAGUAUUUAACAAAAAACUACCACAAUUCGUGAAACCACGCAUACAAACUACCAUUUUACAAAUUUGUGUGAAAAACUAUCAUUUUUUCACUAAUCUUUGACAAAAAACACUAGUGAUUGAGUUGGACGAAAUUAAACUCGAUUAUGACAGCGCUGGCCCACACAUAAGCAUUGACCCCGCACCUCUGCCCCCAGAUCCCGCACCGCACCACAAGUCAGGGCUCGAUCUGGCCAGCAAGGCCGCUCGCCGGAUCCCACGAGGCAGCGGCCGGCGCCGCGGGAUCCGGCGAGCGCCCGCCCUCCA
This 1694-nucleotide long non-coding RNA is filed under the name Triticum aestivum (bread wheat). RNAcentral describes it as "long non-coding RNA (TAES_LNC021284)". Lineage: Eukaryota; Viridiplantae; Streptophyta; Magnoliopsida; Poales; Poaceae. The record is from RNAcentral.